UUUUUUUAAAUCGCAACAAUCGCUCUUUUGGCACAUCACUAUGGCGCUGUUGUGUUCGAUAGUUAACACUACAUACUCUUUUUAAGUGCUGUAAAACUGAAAAACUGUGUUUGAAAAGUUGGAAAAAGAUGCUGCCAAAGUUGUAAGGAAAGUGUGGAGGAUGGUAACCAGUUCUUGAUGGUGGUGCUUGAACCGGAAUUUUGUGAUAUAAGGACUUACAGAAGGAACCUCUAUCACAUUAUGAAAAAAACAAGGACAAGGAUUAUAAGGAUAUUUGUUAACUAAACCAAUUAGCUUAGUUUUCAGGGAAAUAUUUUAGUUUCAACAAUCAGGAACCACUUAUAAUAGGUGUCCACAGCUGGAAUUUAAAAAGAUCUGGCAUUCUUCUCAAAAAAUAAACCAAAAUUAAAGAAGCUCUAAAAGAUAUAGAAAAAAAUCUUUUUAGACCUCAUUUUGUGGAAAAGAACAUUACCUUUCUGCUCCAGAGCUUCAAAUUUCAGUUCUAAAAACUUGACAAACUAAAUUAAAACUUUUAUAAAGACAGAAAGUAAAAAGACUUUGUUGCUGUUACUAUGAAGAGGGCUCACGAACAACCAGUCACUGGAAUAAAUAUCAAUUUCUGUGACGUGACCGCAUCACACAUCCCUGUCAGUCAGUCAGUGAGUCUUUCUUAUCGUCACCGCAAGUCGGCCUUCCAAUCAGCGACGACCACUACUACUGCCAGAGUGACCGAAAGGGAGUGCAUCCAUCGUAGUUAUUGUUGGCACGUAAAAAUAAAAAAUACACAAUAUACUCGCCAUAUAGUAUAAACAAAAAAAAAAAGAAGAAAAAAAUCAUUGCAGUGGCUCUCCAUGACGGCGGACGUGUCAUUAUUAGAACGGCAAUGAAUAAACAAAGAAAUAAAAAGCAAAAAAAUAAAUCUAUUUCACAUGCGACUUGCAGAAGGCGCCAGAAGAUUCUACAGAUGGGGGGUGGGGGGUAGCGAGAGGGGGAAGAACGUCUUCUCAAGCUCGUAAACAAAAACAAAAAAAUCUAUAACUUUUGGCUGUUAAAAAAAAGGUUAAAUUAUAAGUUUCUCAAGUUUUUUUAGGUGGAGAAUAAUAUUUUUUUAAUAAAUGUGUUAAUUUUGAAUAAAUUUUUGUUAAUAAAUAAUAUUAAAAAUACUUAAAACUGUAUUUAAUGAGUUUUAAUAAGUUUCAUAUUCAUUUUUCAAUUAAUUUUUUAAAAUUUUGAAUUUUUUAGAAUUUAAAUAUUUAUUCUGUAAAAUUUUAUGUUUUUAUUUUAUUUUCUUAAAAAAUAAAUUGAUUUUUUUUCAAUUUCUAUUUAAAGUUUAAGAAUUUCAAUCAUUAAAUAUUUUAUAAAAAAUUGUAUUUAAAAAUUUGUUAUUUUUUCCAAAAAAGUUUAUAAAAUUUACAAAAUCCUAAAAUUAAUAUAAACAUAAGCUACAAAUGUAAAAUUAUAUAUCGUAGGAAGUAUAAAAAAUAUUAAGAAAUAUAAAACAAUUUAAAUGGAAGACUGAAAAUUGUCAAUUUCCAAAAUGCCUAAAGAAAAAAUCUAAAAAAUAUUCAAUUUAAGAAAAAGAUAAAAUAAUAAAAAAAAGAAGAACCUCAAAAAUAAACUAUUUUCAGCCAUAAAAAAAUGUAUAAAAAAAUAUACUUGUCAGAAAAAUAUAUAUUAAUUUUUUAUAAUUAAAAAUUUUAUAAUUUCACCAUCUUCAUCUCACUCUCACUUUCUCUCACUCCCUCGCACCCCAGCACAACACAUCGCCCCGUCUCUGUCUAUUGCAGAUAUUAUUGAAGAAAGCGCGCAUUCGAGUCGAAAUUUAAUUUCAACAUAUUUAUUGAUGUAAUUCAAAAAAUUAAAUAUAAGUUAUGUUUAUAAUUAUUACUGCUUACUAUGCAAAAUUACUUUGCAGUUUUGCGUUCUGUGUUUUUCUUGUUUUUUGGGUUUUUUUUGUUGUUUUCUUCAUGUUUUUGUGUUUUUUGUUUCUUUUUCCUUUUUCUUCCUCGAUUGUAAUUUUAAUUAUUAUUUAUUUAUUUAUUUAUUAUUUGUUUUGCAUUAUUCUUGUUGCUUUUGUUUCUGGUUUUGUUUUUUUAUUUUUGUAUUUUAUUUAUUUUUCCCCCAUCUCAGUUGGCUUUUUGCAUUUGUUUUUUUUUUUUAACAUUAUUCUUCAUGCUUUUUGAGUGUUUUUUGUUUCUAUUUAUUUUUAUUAAUUUUUAUUUUCGUUUCUUAUUUAUUUCCAAUUUGAAUUAGUGGUAGAGCCCUUCUGGUGUCUCUCUCUCUCUCUCUUUCUCUCUUGAUCGAAAUUAAGCAUUUUAUUCGAUCGGAUGUGAAUCAAAUGGGAUAUAUGCAUACAUAUAUAUAUGGUGUUUAUUCGCUUAUAUAUAUACAUACAUAUAUACUAUAUAUACCCUCAUACAUCAUACAUAUCAUACAUAUAUAUAUGUAUUUAUAUAUAUAUAUAUUUUAGUGUUACUUCUGUUACUCCUGCCUCCUCAUUAUCCUUUUUUUUCUUGUUUUUUUGUUUUUACUUAUUCUCCUUAUCAUCAUUACCGUUAUUAUUUCUUGUAAUUUAUUAGGCUAAGUUUUUUUUUUAAUUUUUUUUCCUUCUUGUUUCAUCUUAAAUUUUUUAUUUUAUAUUUUUUUUGUUUACUUUUUGUGGACAAUGAUGCUUUGAGAGACUGUGUGUGUGUGUGGGUGAGUGUGUGUGUGGGUGAGUGUGUGUGGGUGGUGGGUGGUGGGUGGUCGAGUGGGCGAGUAUGCUUUAAGUGAGCGAGUGUAUUGGGUUCGAGGUGUGAAUUGAAAUUU
Molecule: long non-coding RNA, 2808 nt
Organism: Drosophila ananassae
Lineage: Eukaryota; Metazoa; Arthropoda; Insecta; Diptera; Drosophilidae
Exons: 2
Source: RefSeq, a predicted model, not a curated record